AUUGAACGCUGGCGGCAGGCUUAACACAUGCAAGUCGAGCGGGGGAAGGUAGCUUGCUACCGGACCUAGCGGCGGACGGGUGAGUAAUGCUUAGGAAUCUGCCUAUUAGUGGGGGACAACAUCUCGAAAGGGAUGCUAAUACCGCAUACGUCCUACGGGAGAAAGCAGGGGAUCUUCGGACCUUGCGCUAAUAGAUGAGCCUAAGUCGGAUUAGCUAGUUGGUGGGGUAAAGGCCUACCAAGGCGACGAUCUGUAGCGGGUCUGAGAGGAUGAUCCGCCACACUGGGACUGAGACACGGCCCAGAGUCCUACGGGAGGCAGCGGUGGGGAAUAUUGGACAAUGGGGGGAACCCUGAUCCAGCCAUGCCGCGUGUGUGAAGAAGGCCUUAUGGUUGUAAAGCACUUUAAGCGAGGAGGAGGCUACUCUAGUUAAUACCUAGGGAUAGUGGACGUUACUCGCAGAAUAAGCACCGGCUAACUCUGUGCCAGCCGCCGCCGUAA
RNAcentral lists this ribosomal RNA (501 nucleotides) under uncultured bacterium. RNAcentral's name for it is "partial 16S ribosomal RNA". It matches the Rfam family "Bacterial small subunit ribosomal RNA", at positions 30 to 523 of the family's 1533-position model. The record is from RNAcentral.